RNAcentral lists this ribosomal RNA (423 nucleotides) under uncultured bacterium. Its description in RNAcentral is "partial 16S ribosomal RNA". It matches the Rfam family "Bacterial small subunit ribosomal RNA", at positions 361 to 776 of the family's 1533-position model. The record is from RNAcentral.
AUUUUGGACAAUGGGCGCAAGCCUGAUCCAGCCAUGCCGCGUGAGUGAAGAAGGCCAUCGGGUUGUAAAGAACUUCCGGACGGAAAGAAAUCGCGCAGGCCACUACCCUGCGCUGAUGUCGGCAUCGUCAUUAGAAGCCCCCGCCAACUACAUGUACGCAGCCGCGGUAAUACGUAGGUUGCGAGCGUUAAUCGGAAUUACUGGGCGUAAAGCGUGCGCAGGCGGUUGAUUAAGACAGGCGUGAAAUCCCCGGGCUUAACCUGGGAACUGCGCUUGUGACUGGUCAGCUAGAGUACGGCAGAGGGGGGUGGAAUUCCACGUGUAGCAGUGAAAUGCGUAGAGAUGUAGAGGAACACCGAUGGCGAAGGCAGCCCCCUGGGCCGAUACUGACGCUCAUGCACGAAAGCGUGGGUAGCAAACAGG